UAAGAAAACCCAGCUAUCCAACACUCUCUCGAAAACAUUUAUCUUCACCAUGUCUCUGCUGUUUAUUUCAUUGAACACCUGGCAAAACACGAAGGUAUUAAAUAUGAAAGUGUUGAGGAUGUCAGUUGCAUCUGAACCUGUAAGCUUUAAAAGGCGUUUCCCAUUAAACUGGAGAAUUACAAGGACAACAAUUUGGAAGAUGCUCUGUCCAAUAAUAUUUCUCCACAUUAGCUUUGUGAUGAAAUAUACAUUCCUGCCUAUUGGAGGUCUUUUCAUGAGUGCAUCAUUGGG
Molecule: unclassified non-coding RNA, 291 nt
Filed under: Hevea brasiliensis (rubber tree)
Lineage: Eukaryota; Viridiplantae; Streptophyta; Magnoliopsida; Malpighiales; Euphorbiaceae
Source: RNAcentral